CUGUAAGAAAUGGAGACUAAAGGCUUCUAUUUAUCCAUAGAACGGAUCCAGCCCCAAUAAUCAUAUUUCAACUGUGAUUCGGAGAGGAGUGUAAACAAAAUUCAGUGUCCAUUCAACCCUUCCCUUUGCUGCA
Molecule: small RNA, 133 nt
Filed under: Chrysemys picta bellii (western painted turtle)
Lineage: Eukaryota; Metazoa; Chordata; Testudines; Emydidae
Description: TUC338 (ENSCPBG00000003671.1)
Source: RNAcentral